RNAcentral lists this ribosomal RNA (501 nucleotides) under uncultured bacterium. Its description in RNAcentral is "bacterial SSU rRNA". It matches the Rfam family "Bacterial small subunit ribosomal RNA", at positions 24 to 518 of the family's 1533-position model. The record is from RNAcentral.
UCAGGAUGAACGCUAGCGACAGGCUAACACAUGCAAGUCGAGGGCGAGCAUAAAAGUAGCAAUACGUUGGUGGCGACCGGCGCGACGGGUGAGUAACGCGUAUGCAACCUACCUAUCAGAGGGGAAUAACCCGGCGAAAGUCGGACUAAUACCGCAUAAAACAGGGGCACCGCAUGGUGAUAUUUGUUAAAGAAAUUCGCUGAUAGAUGGGCAUGCGUUCCAUUAGGUAGUUGGUGAGGUAACGGCUCACCAAGCCGACGAUGGAUAGGGAACUGAGAGGUUGGUCCCCCACACUGGUACUGAGACACGGACCAGACUCCUACGGGAGGCAGCAGUGAGGAAUAUUGGUCAAUGGGCGGGAGCCUGAGCCAGCCAAGUCGCGUGAAGGAAGAAGGAUCUAUGGUUCGUAAACUUCUUUUGCAGGGGAAUAAAGUGCAGGACGUGUCCUGUUUUGUACGUACCCUGAGAAUAAGGAUCGGCUAACUCCGUGCCAGCCGCCGC